UACGAGUGCCCCAAGCGUUAUCCGGAAUUAUUGGGCGUAAAGGGUGCGUAGGUGGUGGUAUUAGUCUUAUGUUAAAGCCUCCGGCUCAACCGGAGAAUCGCAUAAGAAACGGUGCCACUAGAGGAUGUGAGAGGUCUGUAGAACUCAUGGAGUAGGGGUGAAAUCCGUUGAUAUCAUGGGGAAUACCAAAAGCGUAGGCAGCAGACUGGCACAUUUCUGACACUGAAGCACGAAAGCGUGGGUAGCGAAUGGG
RNAcentral lists this ribosomal RNA (253 nucleotides) under uncultured bacterium. RNAcentral's name for it is "partial 16S ribosomal RNA". It matches the Rfam family "Bacterial small subunit ribosomal RNA", at positions 524 to 776 of the family's 1533-position model. The record is from RNAcentral.